RNAcentral lists this ribosomal RNA (253 nucleotides) under uncultured prokaryote. RNAcentral's name for it is "partial 16S ribosomal RNA". It matches the Rfam family "Bacterial small subunit ribosomal RNA", at positions 524 to 776 of the family's 1533-position model. The record is from RNAcentral.
UACGGAGGGAGCUAGCGUUGUUCGGAAUUACUGGGCGUAAAGCGCGCGUAGGCGGCUUUGUAAGUUAGAGGUGAAAGCCCGGGGCUCAACCCCGGAACUGCCUUUAAAACUGCAUCGCUGGAAUCCGGGAGAGGUGAGUGGAAUUCCGAGUGUAGAGGUGAAAUUCGUAGAUAUUCGGAAGAACACCAGUGGCGAAGGCGACUUACUGGACGAUUGUUGACGCUGAGGUGCGAAAGCGUGGGGAGCAAACAGG